Molecule: ribosomal RNA, 524 nt
Filed under: uncultured eukaryote
Lineage: Eukaryota
Description: SSU rRNA
Rfam family: Eukaryotic small subunit ribosomal RNA
Source: RNAcentral
UAGUCAUAUGCUUGUCUCAAAGAUUAAGCCAUGCAUGUCUAAGUAUAAAUGGAUUAUACAGUGAAACUGCGAAUGGCUCAUUAAAUCAGUUAUAGUUUAUUUGAUAAUACCUUUUACUUGGAUAACCGUAAUAAUUUUAGAGCUAAUACAUGCGUGAAAGUGCGACUUUUGUGGAAGCACUGUAUUUAUUAGAUACAAAACCAAUCGAGCUUGCUCGUUACCUUGGUGAUUCAUAAUAACUAAACGAAUCGUAUGACUUUAUGUCGACGAUGAUUCAUUCAAAUUUCUGCCCUAUCAACUUUCGAUGGUAAGGUAUUGGCUUACCAUGGUUACAACGGGUGACGGAGAAUUAGGGUUCGAUUCCGGAGAGGGAGCCUGAGAAACGGCUACCACUUCUACGGAGGGCAGCAGGCGCGCAAAUUACCCAAUCCUGACUCAGGGAGGUAGUGACGAAUAAUAACGAUACGUGACUUCGGUCUAGUAAUUGGAAUGAGUACGAUUUAAACCCCUUAAUGAAUUCCAUU